AAUUUCUCUAUCUUUAGAAAAUGAAAUCAUAACACCUUUUCCAUGUGUCCUGCGGGCUAUUAAGGAAAAGAAAUGGAAGACAAUGAAUCAGGGAAUCCUCGUGUGGUUCUAUGACCAGAGAGUGACCUGAGACACCUUUCUACUUUCCCAGGGAGCAUGCUUGACAAAAGACAGCCGGUUGCUUUUUAGGUUUGAAAACAGGACCCUGAGUUCAAGAGUUGCAUGCU
Molecule: long non-coding RNA, 227 nt
Organism: Suricata suricatta (meerkat)
Lineage: Eukaryota; Metazoa; Chordata; Mammalia; Carnivora; Herpestidae
Exons: 3
Source: RefSeq, a predicted model, not a curated record